This is a non-coding RNA of Cinara cedri, 215 nucleotides long. The record is from the annotation of a GenBank genome assembly. NCBI's taxonomy places the organism in Eukaryota, Metazoa, Arthropoda, Insecta, Hemiptera, Aphididae.
UAAUGUUUAUAAUAGUAUUCAAAGUAACGACGGCGUUCCGAAAACACGAUCCGGAACGGAGCUCGUUGUUACAUUAUCACAUUAGUCAUUACUAUAUUUUACUCGUAGUUUCUGAAGAAUCAUUUUACGAACCGAUAAAAUACCGAGACGAUAAAAAUCGAUUAAUUCAAAAAUUAUUCAACGAGAUAUUAACAUUACGUGUUCGCGAUAAACGG